RNAcentral lists this long non-coding RNA (411 nucleotides) under Physcomitrium patens. RNAcentral describes it as "long non-coding RNA (PPAT_LNC002486)". The record is from RNAcentral. Lineage: Eukaryota; Viridiplantae; Streptophyta; Bryopsida; Funariales; Funariaceae.
AAUAUUGUAAUAUCUCUUAAUUAUUAGAUCUUAAAAGUACAUGGAAUGUUAUUAAUUCUAGUACUAGAAACAAUUUGGCAAUGGCUCAUAGCAUGGUGUAAUGCCUGACUUACCAUUGCAAACAUAAUUACUAGACCAUUAUCAAUAAAUGCAAAACAAAGAACAAACAAUCACAUGUAUUUAUAAAACCAGAUAUGCACUUACAAUUGAUGGUAGCUAUCUAGAAUCCCAUAUAUGCAUGCAAUUAGUUUUUUUUUUAAUGCAAUAAUAAAUUAUCAAAUAUAUUAUUUAUUUUCAUAUUAUUGAAGUCCAACAAGCAAUUUAUGUAGCAACCAUCACGUCAAUUCCAUCUAUUGAGUAUUGGACUAAAUGAAAUGACAUAAAAUUGUUGUUGCUUUGAUCUUACUACCC